Molecule: ribosomal RNA, 301 nt
Filed under: uncultured bacterium
Lineage: Bacteria
Description: partial 16S ribosomal RNA
Rfam family: Bacterial small subunit ribosomal RNA
Source: RNAcentral
CAGCAGCCGCGGUAAUACGGAGGGUGCAAGCGUUAAUCGGAAUUACUGGGCGUAAAGCGCACGCAGGCGGUCUGACAAGUCAGAUGUGAAAUCCCCGGGCUUAACCUGGGAACUGCAUUUGAAACUGUCAGGCUGGAGUCUUGUAGAGGGGGGUGGAAUUCCAGGUGUAGCGGUGAAAUGCGUAGAGAUCUGGAGGAAUACCGGUGGCGAAGGCGGCCCCCUGGACAAAGACUGACGCUCAGGUGCGAAAGCGUGGGGAGCAAACAGGAUUAGAUACCCCCGUAGUCCCGUCUCUUAUACA